ACAUCCACAGUAACGCACUCUGAAACACAAGAACCCGCUCUAGAAUAGUUCCUCAUCAGUAAACUACAGAACCCUGUAAAGUAUACAGUAUAAACGUAAUGGGUUAAAGACAAACUCUAGAAGGGUAAAAUUUGUAGACUAACCUAGAACUGACUGAAUGAUACUGUGAUGUUUUCUUUCAUCAUCUCGUGUUCGAGAUCCACCUAUGGGAAGGGCAUCCGUACCUGACCUCUGCAGAAGCAUCCAAUUGCACUAUGUCUGGCUUUGACAGACACGAGCAUGUGUCCAGUGCCUGGUAGAGGCACGCCCCUUACCCGAGUGCAUAAAGAACCUGCAUGGGGAGGACAUAUGCCUUGGAUCAGCCUCUGCCAGACGUGUUUAUCUUGCUAGCCAGCUGCCCACCUUAUGGAUUCGACUGAGCUCUGUGUUUUGCUGCCAUGGCGCAUUCUAAACCAGCUUCGGCUUCCACCAGGGAUAAUCAGUCGCAUGCCUGCCUGGCCACGUACGGUGCUUUAUCAUGGCUAGGGAUUCUCAUCCUUUCUGUGUGGUUUGCAUAGGCCUGAAGCACACUCGAAG
Molecule: long non-coding RNA, 576 nt
Organism: Pangasianodon hypophthalmus (striped catfish)
Lineage: Eukaryota; Metazoa; Chordata; Actinopteri; Siluriformes; Pangasiidae
Exons: 3
Source: RefSeq, a predicted model, not a curated record